Molecule: ribosomal RNA, 467 nt
Filed under: uncultured bacterium
Lineage: Bacteria
Description: partial 16S ribosomal RNA
Rfam family: Bacterial small subunit ribosomal RNA
Source: RNAcentral
GACGAACGCUGGCGGCGUGCUUAACACAUGCAAGUCGAACGGAAAGGCCUCUUUCGGGGGGUACUCGAGUGGCGAACGGGUGAGUAACACGUGAGUAACCUGCCCUUGACUUUGGGAUAACUUCAGGAAACUGGGGCUAAUACCGGAUAGGAGCUCCUGCUGCAUGGUGGGGGUUGGAAAGUUUCGGCGGUUGGGGAUGGACUCGCGGCUUAUCAGCUUGUUGGUGGGGUAGUGGCUUACCAAGGCUUUGACGGGUAGACGGCCUGAGAGGGUGACCGGCCACAUUGGGACUGAGAUGCGGCCCAGACUCCUACGGGAGGCAGCAGUGGGGAAUCUUGCACAAUGGGUGGAAGCCUGAUGCAGCAACGCCGUGUGCGGGAUGACGGCCUUCGGGUUGUAAACCGCUUUCGCUCACGACGAAGCUUUGUGUGACGGUAGUGGGUAAAGAAGCACCGGCUAACUACGUG